GUGGGGAAUAUUGGACAAUGGGCGAAAGCCUGAUCCAGCCAUGCCGCGUGUGUGAAGAAGGUCUUCGGAUUGUAAAGCACUUUAAGUUGGGAGGAAGGGCAGUAAGUUAAUACCUUGCUGUUUUGACGUUACCGACAGAAUAAGCACCGGCUAACUUCGUGCCAGCAGCCGCGGUAAUACGAAGGGUGCAAGCGUUAAUCGGAAUUACUGGGCGUAAAGCGCGCGUAGGUGGUUCAGUAAGUUGGAAGUGAAAUCCCCGGGCUCAACCUGGGAACUGCUUUCAAAACUGCAUGACUAGAGUACGGUAGAGGGUAGUGGAAUUUCCUGUGUAGCGGUGAAAUGCGUAGAUAUAGGAAGGAACACCAGUGGCGAAGGCGACUACCUGGACUGAUACUGACACUGAGGUGCGAAAGCGUGGGGAGCAAACAGGAUUAGAUACCCUAGUAGUCC
Molecule: ribosomal RNA, 450 nt
Filed under: uncultured bacterium
Lineage: Bacteria
Description: partial 16S ribosomal RNA
Rfam family: Bacterial small subunit ribosomal RNA
Source: RNAcentral